UUCGCCACUUCAAUCUGUUCAUUUUGCGACAGCAAUUUGCCGACGGCUUCGCUGAUUGAAGGAUGCCAGUUCACCGCGCGACCGACCGCCUCAUUAAGCAUUAAUGUUCCUGGUGCUGCCGGGCUGAGCGGUAAUUGCGCCGCCGAGCCAUCGAGAGAAGGCAGCAUCUGGUCUGCGGCGAGGGUUUCAGAGGAGAUCGGUAGUUCUUGUGCAUUGAGAUGCCCGCAACUGAGCGCCAAUGCCACUAAUGCCGCGACGCAGGCCAUUUUUCCCAUAAUCUAUCCCUUUGAAAAUCAAAAUAACUACCGUUGCCCCGGUGGUCAUCGCCUCCGGGGCUGUU
RNAcentral lists this small RNA (340 nucleotides) under Escherichia fergusonii. RNAcentral describes it as "isrL Hfq binding RNA". It matches the Rfam family "isrL Hfq binding RNA". Lineage: Bacteria; Pseudomonadati; Pseudomonadota; Gammaproteobacteria; Enterobacterales; Enterobacteriaceae. The record is from RNAcentral.